RNAcentral lists this long non-coding RNA (1041 nucleotides) under Gouania willdenowi (blunt-snouted clingfish). Its description in RNAcentral is "lncRNA (ENSGWIG00000012376.1)". The record is from RNAcentral. Lineage: Eukaryota; Metazoa; Chordata; Actinopteri; Blenniiformes; Gobiesocidae.
ACUCUGUCCUGGAUGAAGUCUGCCGUCCAAUAAGGAGGCGUAAACCAAGUCACAUGACGCUCGACAUUUAAAGUCAGGCUAAAGUGCUGAGGAAGCGGAGGAAGAGUGAGUGAACUGGGGCAUUUAUUCCUGAUCCUGUUGUUUCUAAAUGGAUUAAAACAAUCGUGGUUAUUUAAAACAUAGCAGCUGCUCCUAACUGCUCAUCACUUUGCUGUGCUCGAACGAAAAGCAGGAGGAAAAUGCCUUUUCUCUGCGUGUUUGUGCUGAUAAUAAGCCUGGAAGUAUCAUGGGCUUUUCCUCCUCCUGUAGAUACCCUCAUACUUCAGAUCCAGCAGUGGGGAGUGGUUGGAGACCAGAGGGUCGUGGAUCAGGUUUUUCUCAAUGGAAUCUCCUUUACCAACACAAGCCAAGAAGUCGGCAAAGUCAUCCAAAGCUUGUCAGCUGAUGCACUCCUUCCUGCUCUUAUCAACAUCAACCAAACUUUACUGCUGAGAAACCAAACCAUUCUUCGCUCCCGAGAGUGCAUACUGGAGGGGUCUCAGUUGCACUGGAGUGACCGAGUGUUUUGCAAUGGAAAGGUUUAUCUGACCUUGGACCUCAAUGAGCAAUGGAAAGCAAACAUACCUCAAGCGCUGGCCCUCAAAGAAGUGUGGGACCAGAAAAUGCAGAACUCAAAGGUAGAGAGUGUCCAGCUGCAGAAGGGUUGCAUCAAGCUCAUAAAAGACUUGAGGCUGCCCGAGGAACACUCAGCUGUUGAUGCCGGAAUUUCUUUGCCGAAGUUUCUAAUCCCGAUCAUGGCCUUUCUGACAUUUUCCGGAUUGAUAAUCAUCACCUUAGUGGUUUCUAAGGACAUGGGCCUGAGGCAGCCUGGAGGUGUGAUAGGCUCUAUCAUACAUUACCCUAUCGACGUCAUAGACAGUGAUGAAGGAAAAAAAGGCUACAGCUACCAAACCUUAUAAGCAAAAAGUCAUUAUUUCAGGUUUCUCUAUUUGUUAAUGUUGUUUUACAUAAAAUAAACUGUGGUCCUCUAUGAAUGUAUCA